GCCCGCCUAGCUCAAUCGGAUAGAGCGUCAGACUCUUAAGGCGGGUGCGAUUCCAUCACAACUACCUGAUGAAAUCUGAAGGCUGCGAGUUCGACCCUCGCGGUGGGCU
Molecule: non-coding RNA, 109 nt
Organism: Panaeolus papilionaceus
Lineage: Eukaryota; Fungi; Basidiomycota; Agaricomycetes; Agaricales
Source: the annotation of a GenBank genome assembly